RNAcentral lists this ribosomal RNA (279 nucleotides) under uncultured bacterium. RNAcentral's name for it is "partial 16S ribosomal RNA". It matches the Rfam family "Bacterial small subunit ribosomal RNA", at positions 506 to 784 of the family's 1533-position model. The record is from RNAcentral.
UGCCAGCAGCCGCGGUAAUACGAAGGGACCUAGCGUAGUUCGGAAUUAUUGGGUUUAAAGGGUCCGCAGGCGGUUUGUUAAGUCAGAGGUGAAAUCCUACCGCUCAACGGUAGAAUUGCCUUUGAUACUGAUAGACUUGAGUUAUUGUGAAGUAGUUAGAAUGUGUAGUGUAGCGGUGAAAUGCAUAGAUAUUACACAGAAUACCAAUUGCGAAGGCAGAUUACCAACAAUACACUGACGCUGAGGGACGAAAGCGUGGGUAGCGAACAGGAUUAGAUA